This 252-nucleotide ribosomal RNA is filed under the name uncultured bacterium. Its description in RNAcentral is "partial 16S ribosomal RNA". It matches the Rfam family "Bacterial small subunit ribosomal RNA", at positions 524 to 775 of the family's 1533-position model. The record is from RNAcentral.
UACGGAGGAUCCAAGCGUUAUCCGGAUUUAUUGGGUUUAAAGGGUGCGUAGGCGGCUUAUUAAGUCAGGGGUGAAAGACGGUGGCUCAACCAUCGCAGUGCCUUUGAUACUGAUGAGCUUGAAUACACUAGAGGUAGGCGGAAUGUGACAAGUAGCGGUGAAAUGCAUAGAUAUGUCACAGAACACCGAUUGCGAAGGCAGCUUACUAUGGUGUGAUUGACGCUGAGGCACGAAAGCGUGGGGAUCAAACAG